CUCAGAACGAACGCUGGCGGCGUGCUUAACACAUGCAAGUCGAACGCGAAAGGGACUUCGGUCCUGAGUAAAGUGGCGCACGGGUGAGUAACGCGUAGAUAACCUGUCUUCAUGUCUGGAAUAAUACGCCGAAAGGGGUACUAAUACCGGAUAUUCUUGCUUUUCAUAAGUUAUGCAAGCAAAGGUGGCCUCUGCAUAUGCUACCGCAUGAAGAGGGGUCUGCGUACCAUUAGCUAGUAGGUGGGGUAAUGGCCUACCUAGGCGACGAUGGUUAGCGGGUCUGAGAGGAUGAUCCGCCACACUGGCACUGGAACACGGGCCAGACUCCUACGGGAGGCAGCAGUGAGGAAUAUUGCGCAAUGGGGGAAACCCUGACGCAGCGACGCCGCGUGAGUGAAGGAAGGCCUUCGGGUCGUAAAGCUCUGUCAAGGGGAAAGAAGUGUACAAUGGCUAAUACCUGUUGUAUUUGACGGUACCUCUAAAGGAAGCACCGGCUAACUCCGUGCCAGCAGCAGC
Molecule: ribosomal RNA, 516 nt
Filed under: uncultured bacterium
Lineage: Bacteria
Description: bacterial SSU rRNA
Rfam family: Bacterial small subunit ribosomal RNA
Source: RNAcentral